Molecule: long non-coding RNA, 495 nt
Filed under: Cicer arietinum (chickpea)
Lineage: Eukaryota; Viridiplantae; Streptophyta; Magnoliopsida; Fabales; Fabaceae
Description: long non-coding RNA (CARI_LNC002838)
Source: RNAcentral
GUAAAGGAGGAAAAAAGAAAUCACAAUAUAAAAUUGGGGAUUUUCCUUUCUUUCUGCUUCUUGUUUCUAAAACAAUAGAAAUAGAGUAAUAAUAGAAAAGAAGAAGAAUUUGUCAUCAUAUUUCUUCCCAUCAACCCAUAACCUUAACCUUAAACAUACUCAAUCACUAACAACAACCGACAGCGACAGUCGACGAGAAUCGAGAAUCACCACACCACCACGCGCCGAAAAAGGGUAUUUUCUCAUUCAUUAGGUUUUGUUUUGAUGCGUAUGAAUGGAGAUUUUUGAUGUCGGGUUAGGAUUAGUUUUGUGCGAAAUUGUUUCUGCUUGUGCAUUUUGAAUGUUUAUCCUGCUAGGCUGGUACGUUAUACACACACAUCUCUUGACGCACGCCAAGUGUUUGUAUUCCAUUCUAUUGAUAAUAUUACUAGUUAGUAUGGACUGGUUUAAUAAUAUAUUUGUGGGGUCAUGAACUUUUUGUUUGGUUCUCUAUUU